This 1374-nucleotide ribosomal RNA is filed under the name Triticum aestivum (bread wheat). RNAcentral describes it as "partial small subunit ribosomal RNA". Lineage: Eukaryota; Viridiplantae; Streptophyta; Magnoliopsida; Poales; Poaceae. The record is from RNAcentral.
AUGGCGGCGGCUCUCGGCGUGGCGGCCACGCUCCUCGGCAAGGUGUUCACGAUGCCGUCGGCCGCCCCGGUGGCGGCGUACGUGGACAACCUCGAGCUCGGCCACAACUCCCAGCAGAUCAGGGCCAAGCUCGCACACACACGAGGCCUGCUGCACAACGCCCAGGCCCAGGUGAGCCACAACCCUGGACUACAGGAGCUGCUGGCGGCGCUGAGCAGGAACGCAGACCAGGCGAAGAACCUGCUGGAUGAGCUCCACUACUUCCAGAUCCAUGACAAGCUCCAUGGCACCACCUACGCCAACACCCAAGAGGCCGGGCCGGAUCUGAAGGGCGUUGUCCGCCAUCAAGCUCUGCACGCCGGUAGUGCUCUUCGGCACACCCUGGGCAGCUUGGUACAGUGCUUUUCUUGCUCGCCUACACCCAAGAGUGAUGAUGCCGUUGCACCACGCCGCGUCACCAACACCCUAGGCAGCUUGCUCCAGUGCUUUUCUUGCUCCUGUACACCCAAGAGCAAGAGGAAUGGUGGUGAUGAUGCUGCUGCUGCUGUUACCGGCGUUGGUGGUGAUGCUGCUGCUGCUGUUGCCGGCGUCAACAACUCCAACUCUGCUAGUGCUGAUGAUGGCAGUGAUACGCUGCAUUUUGACAGAGUGUUCAUGUCCAGAGAAAUCAAGUCCGUGUUAGAGGGCAUGCAGUCCCACUGUGAUUUGGUCUCCAAUUUGCUCGCCACUAUCCCAAGCAACAGCACGGCAGUCGUCGUCCCACAUCGGCCUCGGACUGUUUCCAUGACUUUUGAGGGAAUUGUCAAUCGGAUCACGGACACUGGUGCCACACACACUGUUUCUGUUCUUCCUAUAGUUGGUCCAGGGGGUAUUGGAAAGACAACUUUCACCACUCAUCUAUACAAUGAUGCAAGGACUAAAAAGCACUUUGAUGUCCAAGUCUGGGUAUGUGUAUCCACUGAUUUUGAUGUGCUUAAGCUCACCAGGGAGAUCCUUGCCUGCAUACCUGCCCCUGGAGAAGGAGGAAGCAGCGGUGUUGCAAAUGAAACAACCAAUUUAGAUCAUCUCCAGAGAUCCAUUCUGCGUUGUAUCAAGUCCAAGAGGUUUCUGAUUGUCUUGGAUGAUAUAUGGAAAUGUGACAGCCAGGAUCAGUGGAAAACCCUGCUAGCUCCCUUCACAAAGGGCGAAGCCAAAGGAAGCAUGGUACUUGUCACAACUCGAUUCCCAAAGGUAGCAGACAUGAUGGAAAUAGUUGAUCCACUAGAGCUGCGAGGUUUGGAGUCUAAUGUCUUCUUCACAUUCUUUGAAGCAUGUAUAUUCGGUGAAGACGACAAGCCUGAGCAUUACCAAGAUGAGUUUGCUAGUAUUGCAUGA